UUAUGCAAGUAGAUAAGCUCA
RNAcentral lists this microRNA (21 nucleotides) under Medicago truncatula (barrel medic). RNAcentral describes it as "mtr-miR5231". The record is from miRBase by way of RNAcentral. Lineage: Eukaryota; Viridiplantae; Streptophyta; Magnoliopsida; Fabales; Fabaceae.